AACGAACGCUGGCGGCGUGGCUAAGGCAUGCAAGUCGAACGCGAUUAGUCAACGGGUAACUGGAGACUAGUUGAGUGGCGAACGGGUGAGGAAUACAUGGGUAACGUACCUCGGACACAGGGAUAACGGCGGGGCUUCGGCUCCUUUGCGAAAGUGCCGCUAAUACCUGAUGAUCCAGCGUGGUCUCCUGAUCAUGCUGGCAAAAGGUCCGCCGGUCUGGGAGCGGCCCAUGUCCUAUCAGCUAGUUGGUGAGGUAACGGCUCACCAAGGCAACGACGGGUAUCGGGCGUGAGAGCGUGACCCGACACAUCGGAACUGAGACACUGUCCGGACACCUACGGGUGGCUGCAGCAACGAAUAUUCCGCAAUGGGCGCAAGCCUGACGGAGCGACGCCGCGU
Molecule: ribosomal RNA, 399 nt
Filed under: uncultured bacterium
Lineage: Bacteria
Description: bacterial SSU rRNA
Rfam family: Bacterial small subunit ribosomal RNA
Source: RNAcentral